GAUGAACGCUGGCGGCGUGCCUAAUACAUGCAAGUCGAGCGAACAGAUGAGGAGCUUGCUCCUCUGACGUUAGCGGCGGACGGGUGAGUAACACGUGGAUAACCUACCUAUAAGACUGGGAUAACUUCGGGAAACCGGAGCUAAUACCGGAUAAUAUAUUGAACCGCAUGGUUCAAUAGUGAAAGACGGUUUUGCUGUCACUUAUAGAUGGAUCCGCGCCGCAUUAGCUAGUUGGUAAGGUAACGGCUUACCAAGGCAACGAUGCGUAGCCGACCUGAGAGGGUGAUCCGCCACACUUGAACUGAGACACGGUCCAGACUCCUAAGGGAGGCCGCAGUAGGGAAUCUUCCGCAAUGGGCGAAAGCCUGACGGAGCAACGCCGCGUGGGGGAUGGAGGUCUUCCGAUCGUAAAACUCUGUUAUUAGGGAAAAAAAAAUGUGUAAGUAACUAUGCACGUCUUGACGGUACCUAAUCAGAAAGCCACGGCUAACUACGUG
Molecule: ribosomal RNA, 497 nt
Filed under: uncultured bacterium
Lineage: Bacteria
Description: partial 16S ribosomal RNA
Rfam family: Bacterial small subunit ribosomal RNA
Source: RNAcentral